This 953-nucleotide ribosomal RNA is filed under the name Panagrolaimidae gen. n. sp. n. DS-2018. RNAcentral's name for it is "partial large subunit ribosomal RNA". It matches the Rfam family "Eukaryotic large subunit ribosomal RNA", at positions 113 to 898 of the family's 3401-position model. The record is from RNAcentral. Lineage: Eukaryota; Metazoa; Nematoda; Chromadorea; Rhabditida; Panagrolaimidae.
GUUUAAUCGCUGUGUCGUAAUGACACAGUGAGGUGUAACGUAUGGUGCGCCACGUGCAGUGAAUGCGUCGACUUAAGUUCUCCUUGACUGGAGCCCCAUAGAAGGUGAAAGGCCUGUAAAGUCGAGUUGUGCUCAUUGUUUGUGACGUACUGUGAGUCGCGUUGUUUGGAAACACAGCGCAAAGCAGGUGGUAAACUCCAUCUAAAGCUAAAUAUGACCAUGAAACCGAUAGCAAACAAGUACCGUGAGGGAAAGUUUAAAAGAACUCUGAAGAGAGAGUUAAAUAGUACGUGAAACCGGUUAGGUGGAAGCAUAUAGAGUUAUCAUAAGAUGGUAACAAUAGGUUGGUUAUGAUGUGCAAAAAGUUGUGCAAGUUUUGCCGUUCAUCGGUGAUCUUGCAUGAUUUUUUUGGUUGCAUUUUGGCCAAUUGAUUUGUUAUCCUUGCGCUGAAAUUAUUGAGUAUGCAUUGUUGCCUGUGUAAAUUAGAUGCCUUUGCCUUUGGGUNAAAGUUACUUGAUUUACUUGUGCUGACAUUGUUAUGCUUAAUAAUUAUUUUUGGAUUAAAAAGCGAAUUGUGCUUUUAACUGACUGUGAAUUGGUGGUAUUGCAUGCAAUAUGCCAUUUGCUAGUUUGUUUAAUUGUACUUUUCAAUGUUUAAUCCUUUCAGUGUACUCGAUGACCACCUAUAUGUCCCGUCUUGAAACACGGACCAAGGAGUUUAUCGUAUAUGCGAGUCAUUGUCUGUAAAAAAGAUAUUGGCGUAAUGAAAGUGAUUUCAUUUUCAUGUGAUCCGGUGUUCAAAAACCGGCGCAACAUGAUCCCAUAUUAAUGGCUUGCCAUGGUGUGGAGAUUGAGCAUAUGCGAUGAGACCCGAAAGAUGGUGAACUAUGCCUGGGCAGGAUGAAGCCGGAGGAAACUCUGGUGGAAGUCCGAAGCGGUUCUGACGUGCAAAU